RNAcentral lists this ribosomal RNA (303 nucleotides) under uncultured bacterium. Its description in RNAcentral is "partial 16S ribosomal RNA". It matches the Rfam family "Bacterial small subunit ribosomal RNA", at positions 507 to 807 of the family's 1533-position model. The record is from RNAcentral.
AGCAGCAGCCGCGGUAAUACGGAGGGGGCUAGCGUUGUUCGGAAUUACUGGGCGUAAAGCGCACGUAGGCGGCUUGGUAAGUUAGAGGUGAAAGCCUGGAGCUCAACUCCAGAAUUGCCUUUAAGACUGCCGAGCUAGCAGGUGAGAGAGGUAAGUGGAAUUCCGAGUGUAGAGGUGAAAUUCGUAGAUAUUCGGAAGAACACCAGUGGCGAAGGCGGCUUACUGGCUCAUACUGGACGCUGAGGUGCGAAAGCGUGGGGAGCAAACAGGAUUAGAUACCCCCGUAGUCCCUGUCUCUUAUAC